Molecule: long non-coding RNA, 1097 nt
Filed under: Columba livia (rock pigeon)
Lineage: Eukaryota; Metazoa; Chordata; Aves; Columbiformes; Columbidae
Description: partial uncharacterized LOC102084311, transcript variant X1
Source: RNAcentral
CAGUUGGUCAAAUGUAUUCUUCUCAUCUCAGUUCCUUUUAUACAGGAAACUAAUAUAGCUCAGAGUCCAGGGAUGAAGGCUUUAAACCUGGAGGGUGCCUGGUGCUUCCUGAGAAUCUCAUGGGGGAAAUGAUUCAGCUGUCUACGUCACUGGGGAAGGACAACUGAAGCUUUGGGAUUGGGGAGAUCUGAAUGUGCAGGCUAAAGGACAAGGAAAGAAAAGCAAUGGAUGAAGACUUCUGUUGUGGAUCAGAGCUGCUAUUGACCAGGUACCAGCAAGCAAAUCCAUGAUAAGUAUUUGUAUCUCCACUUUGGAUGCCCAAGAGACAUUGAUAGCUUUUGAGCCAAUCAUCUGUUGGGCUGACCCAAAAAAUAACCUCACUGGAGUAGGAACCUUGUCCUUCUCUCAUCUUCCUACUGUUUGAUAAUUCAUACGGAGGUUACUGCCAGAGUAAACUGAAAUUGGAGGUGGUUUAUGUUAAUGCUGCAGCCUGUAGACUGCACUUGCUCAGGAGUUUAUCCAGGAGGAUCAGCUGAUCCCGCUGCAGGAUGGUGACCUCUGGCAGAGACACAGGACAGAGACAGCUGCUUCAGCUCUCCCAGAUAAACCUGCUUAAGGCGCUCUUUGAAAUCAGAAAUAUUUACUGUGUGGGAACUAUUAAUGAAGCCCAGUGGAAUGGUGACAGGAGGGUUACACCUGGGUGUCUUCAUAUGAAGAAUGCAUAUCACGGUCCUGCUCUGAUGAUAUAGGCUCAGUGAAAUGAAGAAGACAAGCAAGUUUUCUGCUGUUAUACACCAUGGAAAGUGGAUACACAGGUUCCUUCUGAGCCCUAAUGAAGAAGUCUGGAGCUGGAAACACAACAUUUUGAUGUGCAAUAUGGCACGUUUAAGAAGCUAGCUCAACAUGUCCACAAUCUCAAAUGGAAAUGCAUUGCUGUGUGUCCAUUUCUGAAGUUCUGACUACUGUAGCAGUCCACUGCAGCGGGCGGUACAUGGCCAUGUGUCACUGUUACGGAGGUGCUGCCGUCGUGGAGUUCUCAUGAACUUCCAGCAAUGACUCCAUAUGGGAAUAAUUUCAUUGUGAGAAGAAGGCUUCCA